This 76-nucleotide microRNA precursor is filed under the name Eptesicus fuscus (big brown bat). RNAcentral describes it as "microRNA efu-mir-9293 precursor". Lineage: Eukaryota; Metazoa; Chordata; Mammalia; Chiroptera; Vespertilionidae. The record is from miRBase by way of RNAcentral.
UCCCAAAGUCUUCUAUGGAUGUUGAAGUUCAGCCUCACAUCAAAAGGCAACAGACUCACGUCCAGAUUGGGGUGAA